Molecule: unclassified non-coding RNA, 1498 nt
Filed under: Hevea brasiliensis (rubber tree)
Lineage: Eukaryota; Viridiplantae; Streptophyta; Magnoliopsida; Malpighiales; Euphorbiaceae
Source: RNAcentral
AUAUAGCCGGCCCCAAAUUUUCGGAAUAAAGAUUUAGUUGAGUUGAGUUAUACAAAUGAAUUAAUGAUGACAAUAAAAAGAAAGUUACUAAAGAGAAAAAGAAAUUUGGUUCGCUGAAUUGUGACUUGGAUAGGUUAUAGAUUUGAUUCAAGCUGGUCUCUAGUUUGAUUCGGGGGUUGGAUUUGCUUCUUUUGUUUAUUUUUUUUAUUUAAAUUUAAUCUGUUAUGAAUAAAAGAUAUAAUCUAUAUCAUACCAGUGGGUUUACAUAUUUAUGUUAGUAAAUGUGAUUUCUGUAAGAAAAUUUCUAUUCAAUGAAAAAUUGGGUAGAAAUUUUGAUAGAGCAUGUUGUGAUACAUUUGAUUUUAGGGAGCAAAUUUAAAAAAAAAAAAUUGCACAGUACAAAGUUUGCUGUAAGCUAUGCCACCCGGAUCAUGAACAAGCCACUAUUGGAGACAAUGAGUAGAAAUUCUGCAGCUCCAGAACCCUAGGAGGGAACUCAGACGAGAAAAUCGACACACGCGUUUUGCUUAUUUCCAAAUGCAAGGUACCUUAAUAGCAAUUUUAGAAGCUUUUGUCUUCAAUUUCUCACCUUCUGAAAGAUGGCAACAGCUAGAAGUCUCUGAUUUGGACUUUGUUGAAGUGAUUUUUUUACCUCUUUUUGUGGUGGAGAUGGCAAAAAUAAAAAAUCUCAAACACAUCAUCAAUCAAGAUGAUUUGUGGGAAGUCUGCUUCUACUGCCAAGAAUUUCACCUCCCUUUUCAUUCUCCAGUGACCAUAUAGAGGGCUAGCGUUAUUUCAGCUCUGCGCUACCCUUUUAGCUAAAGAGUGAAGAGAAUUUGUUUGGUAAGAUUGGCAAAGACGUGGAUCAUCUUGCAAAAUUAAUGAAUUUUUUUAUUAUUGUUAGAAGACCGAUGCAUGUAACGAUGUUGUAAUAUUUUAUGUAGUGCAUCAUAUGGAAUGAUAAAAUAAUAAGAGAUAGAAGUAUAUAAUUUUAAUUUAAUUAUUAGAUUUAUAAAAAUAAUUUUAUAUUUAUAAUUUUUUGAGAUUUAUUAUGUAUAGAUAUUUUGUAUAUUAUUAAUUUAUAUUUUAUAUAGAGUGACACCACCAUCAUCAGGGCGUGUAAGUUCUGCCUGUCAACUCCCUCCACAGAUUGCCGGGUUUGGUCAUGAUUGUUUACUAAAGGCCCUUACUCUGUUUUCUGGAAGAUGAUUCUUUUGGUUGUGAGCUUUGUGUUUGCUUUCUGUUCAAGAAUCCGAUGAUCCUCUUCCAGGCGACGAUCAAAAGCUAGCAAUGUUGUGGAUGCAUUGCUUCCUCCUUUUUCGAUUAGCUCUAAGGUUCUGAGUUGUGGGCCUUUGGGACAUUUGUACUGUAACGUUAGCUCCAUGGGCCUCCUAUUUUAUAACUUAAAGAUCCUUGACUUUGUAUUGUUGGGUUGCUUUUAGGCUUGAGCUUGUAUUAAUUCCUCUUUCAAUGAAAUCAUUUUACUUUUGUGCUGAAA